RNAcentral lists this small RNA (111 nucleotides) under Rhodobacteraceae bacterium SB2. RNAcentral's name for it is "Methylobacterium-1 RNA". It matches the Rfam family "Methylobacterium-1 RNA". The record is from Rfam by way of RNAcentral. Lineage: Bacteria; Pseudomonadati; Pseudomonadota; Alphaproteobacteria; Rhodobacterales; Paracoccaceae.
AAAGGCGGACUGGCUGAUUAAACAUUCCCGUCACGAUGAAGGCUCUGCCACACUGCAACCUUCGAACGUUGUCUAAAGUUGUUCCAUUGGCUGGAUAACGUUACCGCUGGU